This is a non-coding RNA of Pelobates cultripes (western spadefoot toad), 301 nucleotides long. Lineage: Eukaryota; Metazoa; Chordata; Amphibia; Anura; Pelobatidae. The record is from the annotation of a GenBank genome assembly.
CUGGGAGAGACAGUACAGAAGAAUCUCUCAGAAAACAUUUCUACAUACCAAGAUUGUCCAACUUGAUUCAGGCCAUUGUACGUAGAUGUGUAACGUGUGCUAAAAAUAAUGCAAGACAAGGACCAGUAAAGCCACCAGGAGUCCAGUUUAUGGGGGGACUUCCCAUGUCCGAUUUACAAAUUGACUAUACAGUGAUGCCUAAAUCGGGUGGACAUCGCUACCUGCUGGUAGUGGUGUGCACCUAUUCAGGCUGGGUAGAAGCAUGUCCUACUCGUACAGAGAAAGCAGGAGAAGUCGUGAG